AGAGUUUGAUCCUGGCUCAGAACGAACGCUGGCGGCAGGCCUAACACAUGCAAGUCGAACGCCGUAGCAAUACGGAGUGGCAGACGGGUGAGUAACGCGUGGGAACAUACCCCUCGGUUCGGAAUAACUCAGGGAAACUUGAGCUAAUACCGGAUACGUCCGAGGUUUUUAUCCACCUUGGAGAAAGAUUUAUCGCCGGAGGAUUGGCCCGCGUCUGAUUAGCUUGUUGGUGAGGUAAUGGCUCACCAAGGCGACGAUCAGUAGCUGGUCUGAGAGGAUGAUCAGCCACAUUGGGACUGAGACACGGCCCAAACUCCUACGGGAGGCAGCAGUGGGGAAUAUUGGACAAUGGGCGAAAGCCUGAUCCAGCCAUGCCGCGUGAGUGAUGAAGGCCUUAGGGUUGUAAAGCUCUU
This 413-nucleotide ribosomal RNA is filed under the name uncultured bacterium. RNAcentral's name for it is "bacterial SSU rRNA". It matches the Rfam family "Bacterial small subunit ribosomal RNA", at positions 8 to 435 of the family's 1533-position model. The record is from RNAcentral.